AAAUAGUUGCGUUAGGGAUUGUAGCAUUUGUUUGAGCUCUUUUGUGAAGUAUAAACAAAAAGCGAGUGCGUAAAGCCCGACCUAAA
RNAcentral lists this unclassified non-coding RNA (86 nucleotides) under Polaribacter sp. KT 15. Its description in RNAcentral is "Flavo-1 RNA". The record is from RNAcentral. Lineage: Bacteria; Pseudomonadati; Bacteroidota; Flavobacteriia; Flavobacteriales; Flavobacteriaceae.